This 391-nucleotide ribosomal RNA is filed under the name Klebsiella pneumoniae. RNAcentral's name for it is "partial 23S ribosomal RNA". It matches the Rfam family "Bacterial large subunit ribosomal RNA", at positions 790 to 1179 of the family's 2925-position model. The record is from RNAcentral. Lineage: Bacteria; Pseudomonadati; Pseudomonadota; Gammaproteobacteria; Enterobacterales; Enterobacteriaceae.
UGAAAAGUUAGCGGAUGACCUGUGGAUCGGAGUGAAAGGCUAAUCAAGCUCGGAGAUAGCUGGUUCUCCUCGAAAGCUAUUUAGGUAGCGCCUCGUGUAUCACUGCUGGGGGUAGAGCACUGUUUCGGCUAGGGGGUCAUCCCGACUUACCAAACCGAUGCAAACUCCGAAUACCAGCAAGUGUCAGCACGGGAGACACACGGCGGGUGCUAACGUCCGUCGUGAAAAGGGAAACAACCCAGACCGUCAGCUAAGGUCCCAAAAUCCUGGUUAAGUGGGAAACGAUGUGGGAAGGCUUAGACAGCUAGGAGGUUGGCUUAGAAGCAGCCACCCUUUAAAGAAAGCGUAAUAGCUCACUAGUCGAGUCGGCCUGCGCGGAAGAUGUAACGGG